CAUACAGUAUAUUUGUUAGAUUAUGCACAUGCUGGAAUUAGCCUACCUGUAAGACCAUAUCUACAAUGCAAUCUUAACAUUCUUUGGCUCAAAGUUCAAAG
Alosa sapidissima (American shad) is the source of this 101-nucleotide long non-coding RNA. RefSeq lists it as uncharacterized. The transcript is spliced from 3 exons. NCBI's taxonomy places the organism in Eukaryota, Metazoa, Chordata, Actinopteri, Clupeiformes, Clupeidae. The record is from RefSeq and is a predicted model, not a curated record.